Molecule: long non-coding RNA, 513 nt
Filed under: Drosophila guanche
Lineage: Eukaryota; Metazoa; Arthropoda; Insecta; Diptera; Drosophilidae
Source: RNAcentral
CUGUAACAUACUUUCUUAUUGGAUCUGACCUGAAUUUGCAAUGCGUUUUUCUUUUGUUUGACUAAAACCUACACAAUGAAACAUAUUGGACUGGUAAAAACAAAAUUAGCCAUCGGCCAAAAGUCGACCACAAUUGUAUAAUCCAAAAUACGAUAUUACGGCACUGGCCGUACUGCCCCGUUAGCCUGUGGCGUCGAUAGGGAUAGGGUAGGGCUAGAGUAGCUCAAUAUUCUGUAUCCACGAAUUAUAGUUUAAGACAUUUGGCUGACGUACUGGCCGUUGCCGCAGCCUGCCAUCGUUUCGCACCCAUUUUCCCAGAAGACAACCAGAGUCCCAAAAGCAUGUUUGCCCCUGCGAGUGUCCAGCAGCGCACAUAUUAACGCAUUCAGUGCGGUCCACGCGAUGUAGGACUAUGUUCUUGAGGAAGCGAUUUUAAGGGCUGUCCUGUGUUGCGUCCCAUCCGGUGGUAACAAAAGACUGGAUGCCUUCUACCUUGCUCUUAUAGGCUCCUAC